RNAcentral lists this ribosomal RNA (253 nucleotides) under uncultured bacterium. RNAcentral describes it as "partial 16S ribosomal RNA". It matches the Rfam family "Bacterial small subunit ribosomal RNA", at positions 524 to 776 of the family's 1533-position model. The record is from RNAcentral.
UACGUAGGGGGCUAGCGUUGUCCGGAAUCAUUGGGCGUAAAGAGCGUGUAGGCGGCCCGGUAAGUCCGCUGUAAAAGUCAAAGGCUCAACCUUUGAAUGUCAGUGGAUACUGCCGGGCUAGAGUCCGGAAGAGGCGAGUGGAACUCCUGGUGUAGCGGUGGAAUGCGCAGAUAUCAGGAAGAGCACCAACGGCGAAGGCAGCUCGCUGGGACGGUACUGACGCUGAGACGCGAAAGCGUGGGGAGCGAACAGG